Molecule: non-coding RNA, 842 nt
Organism: Equus caballus (horse)
Lineage: Eukaryota; Metazoa; Chordata; Mammalia; Perissodactyla; Equidae
Source: RefSeq, a predicted model, not a curated record
GACAGAUUUUGGUACCAAGAGUGAGGUGCUACCCUUACAAAAGUUUAAAUGAGAGAGUGGCUUUGAAAACAGGCAGUGGACAGAAGUGGAAAGACUUCGAGGAAAGUGUCAGUGAAAGCCUGAAGAACCUGCUAAGUAGAAGCCUUUGUGGAGGCCACAGAGUACCACCUGGCCUACAGCCUUGAAUGACUGAUCUUCAUAACAUGUUAUCCCACUUCUUGAUCAUGGCUACUGGACCAGUGACCGACACCUGCUCAAGACUGGCCAAUCAUAUUUCCUCUUCCAUGCCUCUGGAAUCUGAACACUAAAAUGUUACUACACUUGGCAGCAAACCAAGGAGAGGUCAUGCAGAGCAAAGACUGCCAACUAGGAGUGAUAUAAACCAAUUGCGAUAAUUAAGAUCACCUGUUCUGGGGGAAGCCCGAUGCUAUUUCGUAAGGAGACUCAAGCAGCCCUAUGGAUAGGGCCACACAGCAAGAAACUGAGGCCUCUUGCCAACAACCAGCAGCAACUGGCUAGGUAUGUGAGUGAGCUGGCUUGGAAGCAGAUAUUUCAGACCCAGAGAAAUCUCCAGAUGACUACAGCCCCAGCUGACAUCUUGACUGCAGCCUCGUGAAAGACUGCGAGCCAGAAAUGCAGAGAAAAUACAGACAUUAAAUAUACAAUUACAAGUAUGAGUAAGUAGUCACAUUAUGAGAUAUGUUAUUAUAGAAAUAGGAACAGAGUGCACACACAGAAGUGGGUUACCCAACCCAGCUUAGCAAAAUCAAAGAUUUCAUUUGAGAAGGAGGUGAGAGUUAGGUCUUAAUAACUGACUUAGUGUUAGUCAAGUAGUGGGACUA